Molecule: ribosomal RNA, 465 nt
Filed under: uncultured bacterium
Lineage: Bacteria
Description: bacterial SSU rRNA
Rfam family: Bacterial small subunit ribosomal RNA
Source: RNAcentral
CCUACGGGUUGCAGCAGUGGGGAAUAUUGCACAAUGGGCGCAAGCCUGAUGCAGCCAUGCCGCGUGUAUGAAGAAGGCCUUCGGGUUGUAAAGUACUUACAGCGAGGAGGAAGGCAUUAAGGUUAAUAACCUUGGUGAUUGACGUUACCCGCAGAAGAAGCACCGGCUAACUCCGUGCCAGCAGCCGCGGUAAUACGAAGGGUGCAAGCGUUAAUCGGAAUUACUGGGCGUAAAGCGCACGCAGGCGGUUUGUUAAGUCGGAUGUGAAAUCCCCGGGCUCAACCUGGGAACUGCAUUCGAAACUGGCAAGCUUGAGUCUUGUAGAGGGGGGUAGAAUUCCAGGUGUAGCGGUGAAAUGCGUAGAGAUCUGGAGGAAUACCGGUGGCGAAGGCGGCCCCCUGGACAAAGACUGACGCUCAGGUGCGAAAGCGUGGGGAGCAAGCAGGAUUAGAUACCCCAGUAGUC